RNAcentral lists this non-coding RNA (329 nucleotides) under Paxillus sp. (in: basidiomycete fungi). Its description in RNAcentral is "partial contains 5.8S ribosomal RNA, internal transcribed spacer 2, and large subunit ribosomal RNA". The stretch from base 1 to 52 matches the Rfam family "5.8S ribosomal RNA", at positions 103 to 154 of the family's 154-position model. The record is from RNAcentral. RNAcentral also lists the same sequence under 2 other names. Lineage: Eukaryota; Fungi; Basidiomycota; Agaricomycetes; Boletales; Paxillaceae.
AACGCACCUUGCGCUCCUUGGUAUUCCGAGGAGCAUGCCUGUUUGAGUGUCAUUUAAUUCUCAACCAUCCCUCGAUUCGUUUCGAGGGUUUGGCUUGGAUUUUGGGGGCUGCCGGGCGACCCUAGGGUCUUCGGCUCUCCUUAAAAGCAUUAGCGAUGGCGGCGCGAUCUAACCCCCCCAUGCAUGAACGGCCUUCGACGUGAUAAUGAUCGUCGUGGCUGGAGUGUUGUUAGUGGGUGUCGUGAAAGUCGGCGCUUCUAAAGACCUCGUCGAAAGACGAAAACUCGAAACUUGACCUCAAAUCAGGUAGGACUACCCGCUGAACUUAA